UACGUAGGGCGCAAGCGUUGUCCGGAAUUAUUGGGCGUAAAGAGCUCGUAGGCGGCGUGUCACGUCGGUUGUGAAAGCCCGGGGCUUAACUCCGGGUCUGCAGUCGAUACGGGCAGGCUAGAGUUCGGUAGGGGAGAUCGGAAUUCCUGGUGUAGCGGUGAAAUGCGCAGAUAUCAGGAGGAACACCGGUGGCGAAGGCGGCUUCCUGGCCUGUUCUUGACGCUGAGGCGCGAAAGCUAGGGGAGCAAACGGG
This 253-nucleotide ribosomal RNA is filed under the name uncultured bacterium. RNAcentral's name for it is "partial 16S ribosomal RNA". It matches the Rfam family "Bacterial small subunit ribosomal RNA", at positions 524 to 776 of the family's 1533-position model. The record is from RNAcentral.